This 732-nucleotide ribosomal RNA is filed under the name uncultured Leptotrichia sp. Its description in RNAcentral is "bacterial SSU rRNA". It matches the Rfam family "Bacterial small subunit ribosomal RNA", at positions 28 to 776 of the family's 1533-position model. Lineage: Bacteria; Fusobacteriati; Fusobacteriota; Fusobacteriia; Fusobacteriales; Leptotrichiaceae. The record is from RNAcentral.
GAUGAACGCUGACAGAAUGCUUAACACAUGCAAGUCUUUGGCGAAGCUGUGCUUGCACAGCCUAGCCAAGGCGGACGGGUGAGUAACGCGUAAGGAACUUGCCCUGCAGUCAGGGAUAACAGACGGAAACGACUGAUAAAACCUGAUAAAGUCAGACGGACUCAUGUCCAGUCUGAUGAAAAGAAAUGCUGCAGGAGAGCCUUGCGUCCUAUUAGCUUGUUGGUGGGGUAACGGCCCACCAAGGCGAUGAUAGGUAGCCGGCCUGAGAGGGUGGACGGCCACAAGGGGACUGAGAUACGGCCCUUACUCCUACGGGAGGCAGCAGUGGGGAAUAUUGGACAAUGGGGGCAACCCUGAUCCAGCAAUUCUGUGUGCACGAUGAAGGUUUUCGGAUUGUAAAGUGCUUUCAGCAGGGAAGAAAAAAAUGACGGUACCUGCAGAAGAAGCGACGGCUAAAUACGUGCCAGCAGCCGCGGUAAUACGUAUGUCGCAAGCGUUAUCCGGAAUUAUUGGGCAUAAAGGGCAUCUAGGCGGCCAGAUAAGUCUGGGGUGAAAACUUGCGGCUCAACCGCAAGCCUGCCCUGGAAACUAUGUGGCUAGAGUGCUGGAGAGGUGGACGGAACUGCACGAGUAGAGGUGAAAUUCGUAGAUAUGUGCAGGAAUGCCGAUGAUGAAGAUAGCUCACUGGACGGUAACUGACGCUGAAGUGCGAAAGCUAGGGGAGCAAACAGG